UAGAAAACGGUACUGGCUGCUAUUGAUCACGUGAUAUGCUAAUUUAUGGACGUAGGCGGAGUCAAGUCACAGUUAAACGACAACCCCAAAGAAAAAUAAUUUCCAUCCAAUUCACCCAACAAUUAAUGAUCAUGAGUUCGUUUUUGAUGAACUCUCCUCCAUAUGUGGAUCCGAAAUUUCCACCAAGUGAAGAAUACUAUCAAGCAAACUACAUUCCAAGUCAGCGAGGGGACUAUUACAAUCCGCCAAGUCAUCCCUAUCGCUAUAGCGGCGUCAACAGUCAGCACGCGCCAGUGAGUUAUGGCCACGAGCACAGCGGUGCCAACGCAGCGUACACAAAUCAUGGAAGCCCUCCCCGUUACUACCAGCCGCCGUGUUCUCUACCACAAAACUCACUCCACAGACCAACAAUUUUGAGCCCUUCAGUUGACCAUGUACCACUAACCAAUAGUCCGAACCAUAUUUUACAGAGCCCACCGCAGCACCAUCAGAGAUCUCCGGUCUCUUCGCCGGUGCCGGCGCCAGUGCCGCCUGCAGUGUCUUGCAACACCCCACAGCCAACUUCCGAUCUACAAGCUCGCGUACCACACCAACAACAUAUUUCUCCUCAGCAGCAAAGUUUAAUAGAAACGACUCCGGACUGUGCUGUGUCAACGACGGGACAUCCGGUCAUCUAUCCUUGGAUGAAAAAAGUCCACAUCAAUGCAGUGGGAACCAAUGGAAAUUUCUCUCCCGGGGUUGAAACCAAAAGACAGCGGACGGCUUACACGAGACACCAGAUUUUGGAAUUGGAAAAAGAAUUUCAUUUUAACCGGUAUCUUACAAGGCGUCGACGGAUAGAAAUAGCUCAUUCGUUAUGUUUGUCAGAGAGACAGAUAAAAAUCUGGUUCCAAAACCGUCGGAUGAAGUGGAAGAAAGACAACAAGCUUCCUAAUACGAAGAAUGUGAAGAAAAGGAACCAAAACGUAGAACACCUGAACAACCAUACGCAACCAUUAGCUCCUGUAUCAAACCACACGCAACCAGAAGCGAGACUUCUUCCCCCAGCGCCAAGUCAGUCAAUUUCAAUGGACCCUAAACCUGAUUAUGGUUUGACCGAACUCUGAUAUUUUCUUAUGUGUGAAGAUCAUUCAUAAGCUGUGUAGUUCUUGACUAAAAUUUGGGCAGCAUUUUAUUAUGUUAAAUGUUGUUCAAGGCCCAGACUGUGGUGUAUGUGUGUGGAUGUGGUGUGCUUAAGCCUCGCGGUGAUUUAUGUAUAUGUGCAAAAAUGAUGAUGAGAAGCGUUUUUUAUUUACAAUGAUCUCUUAAGCGUCGUUAAGCUUUUUGGUGAGACUAACAGUCUUUCAUAUAACAAAAUGUGUCUCACAAAAGGAAAUGUAUUUAGACAGUUUAUAUGCCUGCUUGUACCCAGCUAGCUGUUCAUUGAACUUGUACAGAAAUCUGUGGUUUCAAGGAGAAAUCCCUAACAGGACUGUUCCGAUCGUUGCCUCCUUUUCGAUUUCACACUUCACAUGGAA
Molecule: unclassified non-coding RNA, 1517 nt
Filed under: Limulus polyphemus (Atlantic horseshoe crab)
Lineage: Eukaryota; Metazoa; Arthropoda; Merostomata; Xiphosura; Limulidae
Description: homeobox protein Hox-B4-like, transcript variant X2
Source: RNAcentral